CCCCUAGAUGUUCUGGGCCGCACGCGCGCUACACUGAACAGUUCAACAAGUCUUAACCUUGGCCGAUGGGUCUGGGUAAUCUUUGAACGCUGUUCGUGAUUGGGAUAGACCUUUGCAAUUAUGGGUCUUCAACGAGGAAUUCCUAGUAAACGCAAGUCAUCAGCUUGCAUUGAUUACGUCCCUGCCCUUUGUACACACCGCCCGUCGCACCUACCGAUUGAAUGGUCCGGUGAAAUCUCGGGACGGCGGCUUGGUCGCUUGCGUCCGACUGCUGAAACUUGAUUAAACCAUAUCAUUUAGAGGAAGGUGAAGUCGUANCA
RNAcentral lists this ribosomal RNA (320 nucleotides) under uncultured eukaryote. RNAcentral's name for it is "partial 18S ribosomal RNA". It matches the Rfam family "Eukaryotic small subunit ribosomal RNA", at positions 1470 to 1796 of the family's 1831-position model. The record is from RNAcentral.